AGCAGCCGCGGUAAUUCCAGCUCCAAUAGCGUAUAUUAAAGUUGUUGCAGUUAAAAAGCUCGUAGUUGAAUUUCGAGACCGGCUUACUGGUCGUGCUAUUGUACGUACUGGUGUAAUCGGUUUCUCCUUUCUGACGAACUAUAAUGCCAUUAAUUUGGUGUUUUAGGGAAUCAGGACUGUUACUUUGAAAAAAUUAGAGUGUUUAAAGCAGGCUCACGCUUGAAUACAUUAGCAUGGAAUAACGGAAUAGGACGUUUGAUUCUAUUUUGUUGGUUUCUAGGAUCGACGUAAUGAUUAAUAGGGAUAGUUGGGGGCAUUAGUAUUCAAUUGUCAGAGGUGAAAUUCUUGGAUUUAUUGAAGACUAACUACUGCGAAAGCAUUUGCCAAGGAUGUUUUCAUUAAUCAAGAACGAAAGUUAGGGGAUCGAAGACGAUCAGAUACCGUCGUAGUCUUAACCAUAAACUAUGCCGACUAGGGAUCGGAUGAUGUUAAUUUUUAAUGACUCAUUCGGCGCCUUACG
RNAcentral lists this ribosomal RNA (520 nucleotides) under uncultured Glomus. RNAcentral's name for it is "SSU rRNA". It matches the Rfam family "Eukaryotic small subunit ribosomal RNA", at positions 569 to 1092 of the family's 1831-position model. Lineage: Eukaryota; Fungi; Glomeromycota; Glomeromycetes; Glomerales; Glomeraceae. The record is from RNAcentral.